RNAcentral lists this ribosomal RNA (395 nucleotides) under uncultured bacterium. RNAcentral describes it as "bacterial SSU rRNA". It matches the Rfam family "Bacterial small subunit ribosomal RNA", at positions 355 to 767 of the family's 1533-position model. The record is from RNAcentral.
UGGGGAAUAUUGGACAAUGGGCGAAAGCCUGAUCCAGCCAUGCCGCGUGAGUGAUGAAGGCCCUAGGGUUGUAAAGCUCUUUUGUGCGGGAAGAUAAUGACGGUACCGCAAGAAUAAGCCCCGGCUAACUUCGUGCCAGCAGCCGCGGUAAUACGAAGGGGGCUAGCGUUGCUCGGAAUCACUGGGCGUCAAGGGUGCGUAGGCGGGUUUCUAAGUCAGAGGUGAAAGCCUGGAGCUCAACUCCAGAACUGCCUUUGAUACUGGAAGUCUUGAGUUCGGGAGAGGUGAGUGGAACUGCGAGUGUAGAGGUGAAAUUCGUAGAUAUUCGCAAGAACACCAGUGACGAAGGCGGCUCACUGGCCCGAUACUGACGCUGAGGCACGAAAGCGUGGGGA